Small nucleolar RNA from Aphidius gifuensis, 69 nucleotides. Lineage: Eukaryota; Metazoa; Arthropoda; Insecta; Hymenoptera; Braconidae. The record is from RefSeq and is a predicted model, not a curated record.
UUUAAAAUGAUGACUUUGAUUACCGCCCCAGUCUGAUGUUCUGUGACUGAUUGGUUUUUCUUAUCUGAU